This 263-nucleotide ribosomal RNA is filed under the name unidentified marine bacterioplankton. RNAcentral's name for it is "partial 16S ribosomal RNA". It matches the Rfam family "Bacterial small subunit ribosomal RNA", at positions 47 to 339 of the family's 1533-position model. The record is from RNAcentral.
CUUAACACAUGCAAGUCGAACGGUCUUUUCGGAGAUAGUGGCGGACGGGUGAGUAACGCGUAAGAAUCUACCUUCAGGUUGGGGACAACCACUGGAAACGGUGGCUAAUACCCAAUGUGCCGAGAGGUGAAAGGCUUGCUGCCUGAAGAAGAGCUUGCGUCUGAUUAGCUAGUAGGUGAGGUAAGAGCUUACCUAGGCGACGAUCAGUAGCUGGUCUGAGAGGAUGAUCAGCCACACUGGGACUGAGACACGGCCCAGACUCC